Molecule: ribosomal RNA, 605 nt
Filed under: uncultured bacterium
Lineage: Bacteria
Description: bacterial SSU rRNA
Rfam family: Bacterial small subunit ribosomal RNA
Source: RNAcentral
CCUACGGGAGGCAGCAGUAAGGAAUAUUGGUCAAUGGGCGCAAGCCUGAACCAGCCAUGCCGCGUGCAGGAUGACUGCCCUAUGGGUUGUAAACUGCUUUUGUACGGGAAGAAACCCUGAUACGUGUAUCAGGUUGACGGUACCGUAAGAAUAAGGACCGGCUAACUUCGUGCCAGCAGCCGCGGUAAUACGAAGGGUCCAAGCGUUAUCCGGAUUUAUUGGGUUUAAAGGGUGCGUAGGCGGCUUAUUAAGUCAGUGGUGAAAGCCCAGAGCUCAACUCUGGAACUGCCAUUGAUACUGGUGAGCUUGAAUAUAGUUGAGGUAGGCGGAAUACGACAUGUAGCGGUGAAAUGCUUAGAUAUGUCAUAGAACACCGAUUGCGAAGGCAGCUUGCUAAACUAUUAUUGACGCUGAGGCACUAAAGCGUGGGGAUCAAACAGGAUUAGAUACCCUGGUAGUCCACGCCCUAAACGUUGAUAACUCGUUAUGUGCGAUAUACAGUACGUGACUAAGCGAAAGCAUAAGUUAUCACCUGGAAGUAACGGUGCAAGAUAGAACUUNAANAGAGUUGAGNGNGAGAGNGCGAGACGACGACGAGGAGGAGG